This 740-nucleotide ribosomal RNA is filed under the name Mammaliicoccus sciuri. RNAcentral describes it as "bacterial SSU rRNA". It matches the Rfam family "Bacterial small subunit ribosomal RNA", at positions 72 to 791 of the family's 1533-position model. The record is from RNAcentral. Lineage: Bacteria; Bacillati; Bacillota; Bacilli; Caryophanales; Staphylococcaceae.
UCAUUAGCUUGCUUCUCUGAUGUUAGCGGCGGACGGGUGAGUAACACGUGGGUAACCUACCUAUAAGACUGGGAUAACUCCGGGAAACCGGGGCUAAUACCGGAUAAUAUUUUGAACCGCAUGGUUCAAUAGUGAAAGACGGUUUCGGCUGUCACUUAUAGAUGGACCCGCGCCGUAUUAGCUAGUUGGUAAGGUAACGGCUUACCAAGGCGACGAUACGUAGCCGACCUGAGAGGGUGAUCGGCCACACUGGAACUGAGACACGGUCCAGACUCCUACGGGAGGCAGCAGUAGGGAAUCUUCCGCAAUGGGCGAAAGCCUGACGGAGCAACGCCGCGUGAGUGAUGAAGGUCUUCGGAUCGUAAAACUCUGUUGUUAGGGAAGAACAAAUUUGUUAGUAACUGAACAAGUCUUGACGGUACCUAACCAGAAAGCCACGGCUAACUACGUGCCAGCAGCCGCGGUAAUACGUAGGUGGCAAGCGUUAUCCGGAAUUAUUGGGCGUAAAGCGCGCGUAGGCGGUUUCUUAAGUCUGAUGUGAAAGCCCACGGCUCAACCGUGGAGGGUCAUUGGAAACUGGGAAACUUGAGUGCAGAAGAGGAGAGUGGAAUUCCAUGUGUAGCGGUGAAAUGCGCACAGAUAUGGGAGGAACACCAGUGGCGAAGGCGGCUCUCUGGUCUGUAACUGACGCCUGAUGUGCGAAAAGCGUGGGGGAUCAAACAGGGAUUAGAUACCCUGGG